AGUGAACGCUGGCGGUAGGCCUAAUACAUGCAAGUCGAACGGCAGCACAGUAAUAGCUGGCUCUUACGGGUGGCGAGUGGCGGACGGGUGAGGAAUAUAUCGGAAUCUACUCUUUCGUGGGGGAUAACGUAGGGAAACAUAGGCUAAUACCGCAAACGACCUAAAGGGGAAAGCAGGGGAUUUUCAGACCGUUUGCGUUAGAAUGAGCGAAGGUCGUAUUAGCUAGUUGGCGGGGUAAAGGCCCACCAAGGCGACGAUCCGUAGCUGGUCUGAGAGGAUGAUCAGCCACACUGGAACUGAGACACGGUCCAGACUCCUACGGGAGGCAGCAGUGGGGAAUAUUCGACAAUGGGCGAAAGCCUGACCCAGCCAUACCGCGUGGGUGAAGAAGGCCUUCGGGUUGUAAAGCCCUGUUGUUGGGAAAGAAAAGCUGCAGGUUAAUUCCCCGCUGUUCUGACGGUACCCAACGAGUAAGCCCCGGCUAACUUCGUG
Molecule: ribosomal RNA, 492 nt
Filed under: uncultured bacterium
Lineage: Bacteria
Description: partial 16S ribosomal RNA
Rfam family: Bacterial small subunit ribosomal RNA
Source: RNAcentral